UACGUAGGGCGCAAGCGUUGUCCGGAAUUAUUGGGCGUAAAGAGCUCGUAGGCGGCCUGUUGCGUCCGCUGUGAAAUCCCGGGGCUCAACCCCGGGCCUGCAGUGGAUACGGGCUGGCUAGAGGCAGGCAGGGGAGAACGGAAUUCCUGGUGUAGCGGUGAAAUGCGCAGAUAUCAGGAGGAACACCGGUGGCGAAGGCGGUUCUCUGGGCCUGUACUGACGCUGAGGUGCGAAAGCGUGGGGAGCAAACAGG
RNAcentral lists this ribosomal RNA (253 nucleotides) under uncultured bacterium. RNAcentral describes it as "partial 16S ribosomal RNA". It matches the Rfam family "Bacterial small subunit ribosomal RNA", at positions 524 to 776 of the family's 1533-position model. The record is from RNAcentral.